GGACUACACGGGUAUCUAAUCCUGUUUGCUCCCCUAGCUUUCGCGCCUCAGCGUCAGGUUUGACACAGAAAACCGUCUUCACCACCGGUGUUCUUCCACAUAUCUACGCAUUUCACCGCUACACGUGGAAUUCCGUUUUCCCUUGUCAACCUCAAGUUGGUCAGUUUCAAAUGCAGCUCCGGGGUUGAGCCCCGGAAUUUCACAUCUGACUUCACCUACCGCCUACGCGCCCUUUACGCCCAGUAAUUCCGAUCAAUGCUUGCACCCUCCGUAUUACCGCGGCUGCUGGCAC
Molecule: ribosomal RNA, 292 nt
Filed under: uncultured bacterium
Lineage: Bacteria
Description: partial 16S ribosomal RNA
Source: RNAcentral